This 253-nucleotide ribosomal RNA is filed under the name uncultured bacterium. RNAcentral describes it as "partial 16S ribosomal RNA". It matches the Rfam family "Bacterial small subunit ribosomal RNA", at positions 524 to 776 of the family's 1533-position model. The record is from RNAcentral.
UACGUAGGUGGCAAGCGUUAUCCGGAAUUAUUGGGCGUAAAGCGCGCGCAGGUGGUUUCUUAAGUCUGAUGUGAAAGCCCACGGCUCAACCGUGGAGGGUCAUUGGAAACUGGGAGACUUGAGUGCAGAAGAGGAAAGUGGAAUUCCAUGUGUAGCGGUGAAAUGCGUAGAGAUAUGGAGGAACACCAGUGGCGAAGGCGACUUUCUGGGCCUUACCUGACGCUCAGGUGCGAAAGCUAGGGGAGCGAACAGG